GUGACUUCCCCCGUGGUAUUCUUGUGAUAGUGAGCAGGAUCUCACAAGAUCUCAUGGUUUUAUAAUGGGUUUCCCCUUUCACUUGACUUUCAUUCUUCUCCUUCCUGCUGCCAUGUGAAGAAGGAUGCAUUUGCUUUCUCUUUUGCCACGAUUGUAAGUUUCCUGAGUCCUCACCAGCCCUGUGAAACCGUGAGUCAGUUAAACUUCUUUUCUUUAUCAAUUACUCAGUCUCAGGCAGCUCCUUUUUUAUUCCAAUAAUCACUUUAUUUUUUAAAUUUCAUCUUUUAAUCCUCAAAACACUUUUACGUAUUAGAGUCAACCUCUUAAGUAGCAUUUCUUAAGUUACUCUCGUACAGGUGGUAUUUGUUUACAUGAGUAAGUUCUUUAGUGGUGAUUUGUUAGAUUUUUGGUGUACCCAUCAUAAAAAGGAGCCCACAUAGCCAAAGCAAGACUAAGCAAAAAAACAAAUCUGAAGGCAUCACAUUACUUGAUUUCAAACUCUAUUAUAAGGUCAUAGUGUCACCAAAACAGCAUGGUACUGGUCUAAAAAUGGCACAUAGACCAAUGGAACAAUAUAGGGAACACAGAUAUAAACCCAAAUACUUACAGCCAACUGAUCUUUGACAAAGCAAGCCAAAACAUAAAGUGGGGGAAGGACCCCCUUUUCAACAAAUGGUGCUGGGAUAAUUGGCAAGCCACAUGUAGGAGAACAAAACUGGAUGCUCAUCUCUCACCUUAUACAAAAAUCAGCUCAAGAUGGAUUAAGUAUUUAAACUAAGAACUGAAACUAUAAAAAUUCUAGAAGAUAACAUUGGAAAAACCCUUCUAGACAUUGGUUUAGGCAAGGAUUUCAUGACAAGAACCCAAAAGCAAAUGCAAUAAAAUCAAAGAUAAAUAACUGCGACCUAAUUAAAGAGCUUUUGCAUGGCAAAAGGAACAGUCAACAGGGUAAACAGACGAACCACAGAGUGGGAGAAAAUCUUCACAAUCUAUACAUCUGACAAAGGACAAAUAACCAGAAUCUACAAUGAACUCAAAUCAGUAAGAAAAAUACAAACAAUCCCAUCAAAAAGUGGACUUAGGACAUGGAUAGACAAUUCUCAAAAGAAGAUACACAAAUGGCCAACAAACAUAUGAAACAAUGUUCAACAUUGGGCAGUUCUUUAUACCAGCAUGAGAAUGGACUAAUACAGCGACUAUUCUAUAAAAUGCUUGGCAGUUUCCUAUAAAGUUGAACGUGCAGUUGAACAUAUAAAAAAGUAAAUAAAUGAAUAAAUAAAGCCCUUCCCUACCCUUUGACCUAGCAAUUAUAUUCCUCAGGAUUUAUCCAAGAAAUAUUAAAAUAUGUCUACAAAAGGCCGGGCUCAGUGGCUAACGCCUGUAAUCCCAGCACUUUGGGAGGCUGAGGCGGGUGGAUCACGAGGUCAGGAGUUUGAGACCAGCCUGGCCAAUAUGGUGAAAUUCCAUCUCUACUAAAAAUACAAAAAUUAGCGAGGUGUAGUGGCAUGUGCCUGUAGUCCCAGCUACUUGGGAGGCUGAGACAGAAUAAUUGCUUGAACCCAGGAGGCGGAGAUUGCAGUGAGCCAAGAUUGUGCCAUUGCACUACAGCUGUAAAUACAAAAUUCAAUCUACAGCAGGAUAGAUACACACUGUGCAUCAAAUUCGUACAAUGAAAUACUACUCAUCAAUAAAAAGAAGAAAAACUGAUUUCUUUACUAUUUGUAAAUCUCAUAGAUAAUUUGAUGAACAAAAUAAGCCAAAGACAAGAAAGUACAUAUGAUAAGAUUUCCCUUAUACGAAGUUCUAAAGUAUUCAAAACUAAUUUAUAGUGAAAAGAUAAUCUAACUGUGGUUGCCUAGGGUUUGCGGGGGUAUAGGGAGAUAUAAUUUACCCCUAUGGCAAAUGAGAGAGUUCUUUGGUUUGAAGGAAAUUUUCUAUAUCUUAUUAUUGUUAUUCAUUGCACGAGUAUAUUCACUUGUUAAAACUCAUUAAACUCAGUGAAUUUCAAUGUGUGUAAAGAAGUAGACAGGUAGUAAACUCUAGUUAAUAUAUUGAAAAUAAUGAAAUCCAUGUUUCUCACUGCUGAGAGAGUUUCAGUAUUGGAAAGGGGAAAACUAAUAUAUACUAUGUGAUGUUGGAUUGAAAAUAUCAAUAUUUAUUUACAUCAUAUAUAUUUGUGUGUGUGUGUGUGUGUGUGUGUGUGUGUGACAGAGAGAGAGAAAGAGAGACAGAAAGAGAGGGAGAGAGAGAAGGGAGAAAGAAGAAGAGGAAAGGCAGGAGAGAAAAAAAAGAAUAAGCACACCCAGCAUUCAUAUUUAAAUACCAUUUCCCACUAAAAGGAUCCAUGGCUUAAUGGAGAAAUGGUUACCAUUUUCAGGGCUAGAAAAGAGCAAUAUAAGCCUGGAGCAUCUUGUUGCAUUGAGGAAGAUGAGCUCAAAGAAUUAGGGAAAUAUGUCAAAAUGCACAAGUCAGUUUGACAGGGCUCCCUCUUGUCAUAUUCAAAGUAAAUAUUGAAAGGAUUGGAUUGAAAUAACUCAAUAAAGUAAUAAAUCAUAAACCCAUACUCAUAGAAGUAAAUAAAUGAAUAAAUAAAUAAAGCCCUUCCCUACACUAGAGUGCCAAAUAAUAAGCAUAGCAGAAAUGAUAUAUUUGAAAUUAACAGUGGAUGCUAAACUUACAGGGUAGUUGUUGAUUGGAAAGACAUUGUUUCAAAGUAUCUCCAAAAAUCUACUCAUUAACUUCAAAGGAAAAAGUGUAAUAAUAUCAUUCAAUAAUGUAGGUAAUACCACCUGAACCAAAAUAACAAACAUAGCAUAAUCAAAAUUGGGACAAACAAAAUUGUGUCUAAUAAGAAACUCAGAGAAAGACAAAACAUCAUUACUUCUGUUAAUCUAAUCAUGAGGAGGCACUGGACAGACCUAAGGUGGGAGAUAGUCUACAAAAUAACCAGGCCUGUCCUCUUAAAAAAUGUUAAACUCAAUACAUAGAAAGAAAGACUGAAAUAUGACAAUUAAAUACAAUAUGCAAUUGUGGAAUUUGUUUCUGGAAAAGAAAAAUAGCUAUAAAAUACAUUAUUAUGAAACUUCAUUGAAUAUAAUAUUGUCUGUAGAUCGGAUAAUUUCCUUAUUUUUCCUAGUAUUUAAAAUUUUUCCGUGGUUUUGUAAGAAAUUGUAUAAUUUCUUAAGAAAUAUGAACUAAAUUAUUUAAGGUUAAAGAAUCAGAAUACUUUCAGCUUACUAUAAGAUACAUACAAAAUCUGUAUGUAUAAAAUUAAUACACUAUAAGAUACAUACAAAAUCCUGUAUGUGUAAAAUUAAUACACAGAUAUGUAAAUGGUCUAAAAUGAAACAAGCAUUGCAUUUGGAUAAAGGGUAUAUAAGACUUCCUGACACGAUUCUAGCAACUUUCCUGUAAAUUUGAAGCUAUUUCAAAAUAUAAACUAUGCCCCCUGUGAUGGUUAAUAUUAAGGAUCAACUUGAUUGAAGAAUUCAAAGUACUGUUCCGGGGUGUAUCUGUGAGGGUGUUACCAAAGGAGAUUAACAUUUGAGUUAGUGGGCUGGGAGAGGCAGACCCACCCUCAAUCCAGUUAGGCACCAUAUAAUCAGCUGCCAGCCCAGCUAGAAUAAAGCAGGCAGAAGAACAUGAAAGGACUUGACUUGCUGAUUCUUCUGGCCUUCAUUUUUCUCCUGUGCUGGAUGCUUCCUGCCUUCGAACAUCAGACUCCAAGUUCUUCAGCUUUUGGACUCUUGGACUUACAUCAAUGGUUUGCCAGGGGCUCUUGAGCCUUUGACCACAGACUGAAGGCUUCACUGUCUGCUUCCUACUUUUGAGGUUUUGGGACGCAAACUAAUCCACCACUGGCUUCCUUGCUGUUCACCUUGCAGACAACCUACCGUGGGACUUCAUCUUGUGAUGGUGGAUCAUGGCUUAUUUGAGCUGUUGCUCCUCAGUGGACAUCAUAGGAUCUUGCAGAUGUGUAUCAAUCCUUCGCAAGUAGGGAGAGCUCCCUUGGUUACGACAGUCUUAAAGAUCUCCUGUUACAUAAAUUUGACAGUAAGUUAUCAACAUUACAACUAAGAAGCCUAACCAUUUGGAAUUUAAAACUCCUGUAUCAGUCUGCCCUGGAGUCAUUCUGGGAUGAGUCAAGUGGUCAGACACUGUCUCACUGGAUGAGAAACAUGAUCAUGUCUGAGUACCAGGAAUAACAAUUCUAAAAAUGGACAGAUCUAAUUCAUUCAAUAUUUCAGUGAUGGCCAAGUGACGCAUGCUGGGAGGGCUCAACCUCUACGCCUGGAAACUUGGCUCUUUGGGAAGAUGUGGCAAUGCAAAUUUGUUGAAGAUGAAGGAUAUAUCACUCUUCUGGAAUGAAUGGAAUGAAUGGAAUGUCUAGCCAGAGACCUUUCAGAAAUCUUAAUAAUUGUGGCAAUUUUUUUUUCUUAACUGUUCACUUCUCUUAACAAAAGAAAAGCCACUGCAAUGCCCCACCUAUUCCCCUCACACAUGUCUGUUCUUGAUACUAAUUUUUACAUUUUGACAUUUAAAUAGUAACUAUAAUUAUCCACAUUUUUUCUUCUUUGGGCAAUUACAUUUGCAUUCUUAGUGAAGAACUGUAAAACCAAAUGGAUGGACCAAAAAAAUGGUUUAAACAGAAGUCGUACAAACAUGCAUAUUUGAAAGAGGAGAUUCUUAUAACUACAUAAAAUAAAUAAUGUAAUAUCUUCUAUUUAUACUUUCCAGUAGAUUAAGUGCUGAGGACACAGUCAACAAAAACAACAUUAUAUGUUUCUACUGGCAAUAUCCCUGGUGUUGCCUAAUUGGUUGAAUUUCAAACCAUUAUCUUUAAAGAAGCAUCUCUAUAGGUAUAGUUAGUUCUUCUUUGCUUUCUGCCAGAGAAGCCUGCAGAACACAAUCAAGGGAUAUUGAUGUUCAAAGAAAAGAAUGGCCUGACAAUUCAAACAACAUACCUAAAAUUUUUUACGUUCUAAGAAAAUAGAUGCUGUGUUGCAUUUUUGUGCAUCUUUGUACCUCCUUGGUUGAUAACAAAGUAAGUUUUCUAGCACUGCCUCUGGGUUCUUUCUAAGUAGAGACUUGUCCUGUAACAAGAUGAAUGAAAGUAUGAGCAGAUAAAUAAUGUGCAUACAACGUAGAAUGAAACUUUUAAAAUUAACGUAGCAACUUCAAAAGACUUAAAAAAUGAAAAUUCCAUGGAAAAAUUUUAAUAUGCCUUAUUAUCCUCCAAUAUUUGUAGACCUCAGAAAAAAGUUGUUUCUCAUUCUGUUGAACAUAUAUUUAUGAAUUUUGUUCAAAUGCAAAAAUCAACUAAUGGCUAAUGUCUAAAAAUAAGAAAACAUAUUAGCUAAUAAAAGACUUUUGGGAAAAUGUUAAUUUGUUUUGAUUGAAAAUUGUUCAUUAAUGUACUCUCAUGAACUACUAUUUAGAUUUCAUCAUGAAUUUAAACUACUUAUCACAAGUUUUACGAACAGAAUAUAGUCAGGUAAUAUUUCCAAUUUAUUUAAUAAGUUUUUGUUUAGCAUAUACUAUAUGUCUGGCACUAUAAAAGACACUGGUUAUAUUGCAAUAAACAAAAUAUAAUUGUUUUCUAUAAGAUUUGCUUGAAUUAUUUUUUACCUAAUUUAAUACUUUAAAAAUUUGCUAACGUAAAAUUUUUUAUGACUUACAAAAUACUUAUAUAAGCAUUAUCUCAUUGAUUCAUUUUAUAAUCCUGUAAAAGAUAUGAAGUUAUUUUUAUUGUUUUCAUUUUACAUGUAAAGGAAAAAUGCCCCAAAGUCUUAAGUAAAUUUAAAAAUAUUUUUUGGCUUGCAAGUAAUGAAGUUAGGACUUAAACAUAUUUCUAUAAUCCCUGCAUCAUACUUUGCAUAUGCUCUCCAAAAUGCAAAUAAAUGCUUUGUUUAAUAUCACAAUGAUCUCUUUCCUUUAACUUUGAGUAUUUAAAAUAUUACCUAUAAUAUUUCUAUAUUACAUUAAUAACAUAAUAUAGGUUGGAUUUUACUUUUAUCAUUUGAGUCUCAUGUGCUUAAAUUUCAUAAGUUGCAAGCAUUAAUAUUUUGUAUUUUGCUGAAUCUAUUUUUAUCUAAUGGCAUAUUACUCGGAAAUGAAGUUUUAGUUGGAUAGGUCUUCAAGUGCAUUAUAUAGAGGCUGAAAUCCACAAUUGUAUUUAAUUUUCAUUUUUCUAUUUUGGCUUUAAGCUAAGGUCUGUUACAUACAAUGUCUAAUGAGGUAAUCUUGUGAACAAUGCCUA
This 6259-nucleotide long non-coding RNA is filed under the name Homo sapiens (human). RNAcentral's name for it is "HSALNT0070557". The record is from RNAcentral. Lineage: Eukaryota; Metazoa; Chordata; Mammalia; Primates; Hominidae.